This 582-nucleotide long non-coding RNA is filed under the name Strongylocentrotus purpuratus (purple sea urchin). Its description in RNAcentral is "uncharacterized LOC115928121". The record is from RNAcentral. Lineage: Eukaryota; Metazoa; Echinodermata; Echinoidea; Camarodonta; Strongylocentrotidae.
AAGACGUUUAAAUAUAAUUACUAGACGGAAAGCAGCACGCGCGGAAACCAUUACACGAAUGGGAUUAGGCUCCGCCUCUUUUGGAUCAUUUGAAGACAAAAUAAGCACCCGAGGCGGCUUUUUGAUUGGAUAUGAGCCUCAUGAAUAUGUAUUUUAUCGAUAGUAUCGUUUAAGAAACCGGAUAAUAUAUUUGACCUCAUUGCGUCACUUUAAUUAUGCAGAUUUAUGCACGACGCUACGACACUCGCACAAACUGAGAAGAGUUAGUUCAUUGAGAAUGGAUUGAAACUGAUGAAGAUCAAGCUGGAAGGAGUUAACUGAUGAGUAGACAUUACAGCAUUUCUUAUAUAUGCAAGAUGAAGCUGAAAGUGCCAUGCAGGAUGAUGCUUCUCUACGGUGGAUGAUGAAGGCAUGCUGAUUACAAACCCAGGAGAGGAACAAAGAACAGAUAUUGACAGAAUCAUAUCUAGAGAUGUGGGCCUACUACACUUCAUACGAGCAAGUGUGCUAAUAUACAAUACUUGGGUUAUCAUCACAGCCCUUUCUUCUGAAAACUAGCCUACAACUUCAUUGAUGAAUGCA